UAAUACGUAGGGAGCAAGCGUUGUCCGGAAUCAUUGGGCGUAAAGCGCGCGUAGGCGGCCCUGUAAGUCCGUUGUGAAAGUCAAAGGCUCAACCUUUGAAAGCCGAUGGAUACUGCAGGGCUAGAGUCCGGAAGAGGCGAGUGGAAUUCCUGGUGUAGCGGUGGAAUGCGCAGAUAUCAGGAGGAACACCAAUAGCGAAGGCAGCUCGCUGGGACGGUACUGACGCUAAGGCGCGAAAGCGUGGGGAGCGAACAGGA
This 257-nucleotide ribosomal RNA is filed under the name uncultured prokaryote. Its description in RNAcentral is "partial 16S ribosomal RNA". It matches the Rfam family "Bacterial small subunit ribosomal RNA", at positions 521 to 777 of the family's 1533-position model. The record is from RNAcentral.